This is a long non-coding RNA of Eucalyptus grandis, 313 nucleotides long. RefSeq lists it as uncharacterized. Lineage: Eukaryota; Viridiplantae; Streptophyta; Magnoliopsida; Myrtales; Myrtaceae. The record is from RefSeq and is a predicted model, not a curated record. The transcript has 3 exons.
GGCAAAUACUCCCGGAGGAAGGAGCGAAUUUUUGGGGGCACAUCGAGACUCCACAGUUGUGUCCAUAAGGAUACUUUGCCAUCCCCAUGAUGGGCGACUACCCUUGGAGGCAUGCCAGAUAUCUCCGUCGGGAAAAUAAAGCCCUUUCAACACUCUGCUCCAUAGGGCUUGAGGGGAGGUAGCUAAACGCCAGGCCUGUUUGCCUAGCAUGGCUCGAUUAAAGCCUCUUUUAGCUUCACCAUUCUGCCACCAGAAAGACGCAAUACGUUGUUCUAUGGCUCGACAGAUCGAUAGUGGCAGCUUGAAGGUGGAC